UACGAAGGGGGCUAGCGUUGUUCGGAUUUACUGGGCGUAAAGCGCACGUAGGCGGAUCGUUAAGUCGGGGGUGAAAUCCUGGAGCUCAACUCCAGAACUGCCUUCGAUACUGGCGAUCUUGAGUCCGGGAGAGGUGAGUGGAACUGCGAGUGUAGAGGUGAAAUUCGUAGAUAUUCGCAAGAACACCAGUGGCGGAGGCGGCUCACUGGCCCGGUACUGACGCUGAGGUGCGAAAGCGUGGGGAGCAAACAGG
RNAcentral lists this ribosomal RNA (253 nucleotides) under uncultured bacterium. RNAcentral describes it as "partial 16S ribosomal RNA". It matches the Rfam family "Bacterial small subunit ribosomal RNA", at positions 524 to 776 of the family's 1533-position model. The record is from RNAcentral.